This 253-nucleotide ribosomal RNA is filed under the name uncultured bacterium. RNAcentral describes it as "partial 16S ribosomal RNA". It matches the Rfam family "Bacterial small subunit ribosomal RNA", at positions 524 to 776 of the family's 1533-position model. The record is from RNAcentral.
UACGGGGGGGGCAAGCGUUGUUCGGAAUUACUGGGCGUAAAGGGCUCGUAGGCGGCCAACUAAGUCGGACGUGAAAUCCCCAGGCUCAACCUGGAAACUGCGUCUGAUACUGGAUGGCUUGAAUCCGGGAGAGGGAUGCAGAAUUCCAGGUGUAGCGGUGAAAUGCGUAGAUAUCUGGAGGAAUACCGGUGGCGAAGGCGGCAUCCUGGACCGGCAUUGACGCUGAGGAGCGAAAGCCAGGGGAGCAAACGGG